UCCGAGGUUUACUCGGCAGUCUCGCCAGAAAAAUACAACUGGCGACAGGGGUCGCGCUCGUUGCGGGACUUAACCCAACACCUCACGGCACGAGCUGACGACGGCCGUGCAACACCUGUGCAUGCUCCCCGAAGGGUCCCUUGGCUUUCACCGCAGUACCACAUGCAUGUCAAACCUGGGUGAGGUUCUUCGCGUGUCAUCGAAUUAAACCACACGCUCCGCUGCUUGUGCGGGCCCCCGUCAAUUCCUUUGAGUUUUAGCCUUGCGGCCGUAGUCCCCAGGCGGAGUACUUAUCGCGUCAGCUUCGGCACAGAGGGGGUCGAUCCCCGCCCCACACCUAGCACCCAACGUUUACGGCUAGGACUAC
This 367-nucleotide unclassified non-coding RNA is filed under the name uncultured Chloroflexota bacterium. RNAcentral's name for it is "uncultured Chloroflexi bacterium contains 16S-23S intergenic spacer region". The record is from RNAcentral. Lineage: Bacteria; Bacillati; Chloroflexota.